AGUGAACGCUGGCGGCGUGCUUAACACAUGCAAGUCGAACGAGAACGGAUUAUAGCUUGCUAUAAUUGUCAGCUAAGUGGCGCACGGGUGAGUAAUGUAUAGGUAAUAUGCCUCUUACUAAGGGAUAACAAAUGGAAACGUUUGCUAAUACCUUAUACUCCUUAUUAACAUAAGUUAAUAAGGGAAAGAUUUAUUGGUAAGAGAUUAGCCUGUAUUGUAUCAGUUAGUUGGUGGGGUAAUGGCUUACCAAGACUAUGACACAUAACUGGUUUGAGAGGAUGAUCAGUCACACUGGAACUGAGACACGGUCCAGACUCCUACGGGAGGCAGCAGUGGGGAAUAUUGCACAAUGGACGAAAGUCUGAUGCAGCAACGCCGCGUGGAGGAUGACACAUUUCGGUGCGUAAACUCCUUUUAUAUGGGAAGAUAAUGACGGUAUUAUAUGAAUAAGCACCGGCUAACUUCGUGCCAGCCGCCGCGGUAA
Molecule: ribosomal RNA, 484 nt
Filed under: uncultured bacterium
Lineage: Bacteria
Description: partial 16S ribosomal RNA
Rfam family: Bacterial small subunit ribosomal RNA
Source: RNAcentral